RNAcentral lists this small nuclear RNA (27 nucleotides) under Arabidopsis thaliana (thale cress). RNAcentral's name for it is "snRNA_02389". Lineage: Eukaryota; Viridiplantae; Streptophyta; Magnoliopsida; Brassicales; Brassicaceae. The record is from RNAcentral.
UUCAUCCUGAGCAGAGAAGUCCAAGAA